UUUUGAAGCGAAUAAUUGCAA
Non-coding RNA from Caenorhabditis elegans, 21 nucleotides. The record is from Ensembl. NCBI's taxonomy places the organism in Eukaryota, Metazoa, Nematoda, Chromadorea, Rhabditida, Rhabditidae.